Molecule: unclassified non-coding RNA, 500 nt
Filed under: uncultured Glomus
Lineage: Eukaryota; Fungi; Glomeromycota; Glomeromycetes; Glomerales; Glomeraceae
Description: SSU rRNA
Rfam family: Eukaryotic small subunit ribosomal RNA
Source: RNAcentral
CCAAUAGCGUAUAUUAAAGUUGUUGCAGUUAAAAAGCUCGUAGUUGAAUUUCGGGACCAAUCUGCCGGUCGUGCCUCCGGUACGCACUGGUUUUAUUGGUUUCUCCCUUCUGACGAACCAUGAUGUCAUUAAUUUGGUGUCAUGGGGAAUCAGGACUGUUACUUUGAAAAAAUUAGAGUGUUUAUAGCAGGCUCACGCUUGAAUACAUUAGCAUGGAAUAAUGAAAUAGGACGUUUGACCCUAUUUUGUUGGUUUCUAGGAUCGACGUAAUGAUUAAUAGGGAUAGUUGGGGGCAUUAGUAUUCAAUUGUCAGAGGUGAAAUUCUUGUAUUUAUUGAAGACUAACUACUGCGAAAGCAUUUGCCAAGGAUGUUUUCAUUAAUCAAGAACGAAAGUUAGGGGAUCGAAGACGAUCAGAUACCGUCGUAGUCUUAACCAUAAACUAUGCCGACUAGGGAUCGGAUGAUGUUAAUUUUUUAAUGACUCAUUCGGCGCCUUACG